CCUACGGGCGGCUGCAGUGGGGAAUAUUGGACAAUGGGCGAAAGCCUGAUCCAGCCAUGCCGCGUGUGUGAAGAAGGCCUUCGGGUUGUAAAGCACUUUCAGUGGGGAAGAAAGCCUUGGGGCUAAUACCCUCGAGGAAGGACAUCACCCACAGAAGAAGCACCGGCUAACUCCGUGCCAGCAGCCGCGGUAAUACGGAGGGUGCGGGCGUUAAUCGGAAUUACUGGGCGUAAAGCGCGCGUAGGCGGUCUGAUAAGCCGGUUGUGAAAGCCCCGGGCUCAACCUGGGAACGGCAUCCGGAACUGUCAGGCUAGAGUGCAGGAGAGGAAGGUAGAAUUCCCGGUGUAGCGGUGAAAUGCGUAGAGUUCGGGAGGAAUACCAGUGGCGAAGGCGGCCUUCUGGACUGACACUGACGCUGAGGUGCGAAAGCGUGGGUAGCAAACAGGAUUAGAUACCCGAGUAGUC
This 465-nucleotide ribosomal RNA is filed under the name Vreelandella stevensii. Its description in RNAcentral is "partial 16S ribosomal RNA". It matches the Rfam family "Bacterial small subunit ribosomal RNA", at positions 338 to 795 of the family's 1533-position model. Lineage: Bacteria; Pseudomonadati; Pseudomonadota; Gammaproteobacteria; Oceanospirillales; Halomonadaceae. The record is from RNAcentral.